Molecule: ribosomal RNA, 481 nt
Filed under: uncultured bacterium
Lineage: Bacteria
Description: partial 16S ribosomal RNA
Rfam family: Bacterial small subunit ribosomal RNA
Source: RNAcentral
GAUGAACGCUGGCGGCGUGCUUAACACAUGCAAGUCGAACGAAGCAUUUAGGACAGAUUACUUCGGUUUGAAGUUCUUUAUGACUGAGUGGCGGACGGUUGAGUAACGCGUGGGUAACCUGCCUUGUACUGGGGGAUAGCAGCUGGAAACGGCUGGUAAUACCGCAUAAGCGCACAAUGUUGCAUGACAUGGUGUGAAAAACUCCGGUGGUAUAAGAUGGACCCGCGUCUGAUUAGCUAGUUGGUGAGAUAACAGCCCACCAAGGCGACGAUCAGUAGCCGACCUGAGAGGGUGACCGGCCACAUUGGGACUGAGACACGGCCCAGACUCCUACGGGAGGCAGCAGUGGGAAAUAUUGCACAAUGGAGGAAACUCUGAUGCAGCGACGCCGCGUGAGUGAAGAAGUAAUUCGUUAUGUAAAGCUCUAUCAGCAGGGAAGAUAGUGACGGUACCUGACUAAGAAGCUCCGGCUAAAUACGUG